RNAcentral lists this ribosomal RNA (451 nucleotides) under uncultured bacterium. RNAcentral describes it as "partial 16S ribosomal RNA". It matches the Rfam family "Bacterial small subunit ribosomal RNA", at positions 29 to 523 of the family's 1533-position model. The record is from RNAcentral.
AGCGAACGCUGGCGGCAGGCUUAACACAUGCAAGUCGAGCGGGCAUAGCAAUAUGUCAGCGGCAGACGGGCGAGUAACGCGUGGGAACGUACCUUUUGGUUCGGAACAACUAAGGGAAACUUCAGCUAAUACCGGAUAAGCCCUUACGGGGAGAGAUUUAUCGCCGAAAGAUCGGCCCGCGUCUGAUUAGCUAGUUGGUGAGGUAAUGGCUCACCAAGGCGACGAUCAGUAGCUGGUCUGAGAGGAUGAUCAGCCACAUUGGGACUGAGACACGGCCCAAACUCCUACGGGAGGCAGCAGUGGGGAAUAUUGGACAAUGGGCGCAAGCCUGAUCCAGCCAUGCCGCGUGAGUGAUGAAGGCCCUAGGGUUGUAAAGCUCUUUUGUGCGGGAAGAUAAUGACGGUACCGCAAGAAUAAGCCCCGGCUAACUUCGUGCCAGCCGCCGCCGUAA